Molecule: long non-coding RNA, 610 nt
Organism: Phalaenopsis equestris
Lineage: Eukaryota; Viridiplantae; Streptophyta; Magnoliopsida; Asparagales; Orchidaceae
Exons: 2
Source: RefSeq, a predicted model, not a curated record
AAAUGCAAUUGCUUGUUCAGCUGAUGACGAUGACAUGAAAAAUGGGUCAAAGUCUUCACCUUCAUCAUCGAAUGCUGGGGACCGUAUUUGCAUACCCAAGGUUGUUUCAUCUUCAUCAAGUGCAGGACAGCUUGCCUGUGUUCCAUUGUCGGAGGUUGGUGCAAAAAAAACUGAGUAUCAAGGAAUAGAUGUAGAAGGCACAAAUUGGCAUUCAAGCAGUGUAUCAAACUCUUUGGUAGUAGCCUUGGAAUCCAGCCCAACUAUCCCAAUGCAUGAGAUCGAAGAUGACUUCCAAUGAACUGAUGCUUGAUGAUGGACUUGAGCGGUGAGGAAUUUUGAACUUAAAACUCUCCCAGCUUAUGAUGUUCGGGCCUCCUGCCAUGCUUUUGCUUGAAAAUCAAGUGGGGAUACAGCACAGCGGAUGUGUUUAUACUUUAUAGUUUCUCGCCUUCAGAUAAUGGAAGUUUUAAUGGGGAAAUAUGAAAAUUCUUGCAAGAUAUUGUAGAUAUUAUUAUAAUUCUCACUCGAAUAACGGAGCACUUUAGCAUGUUUUUGAUGUGCCAUUUUACUUUCUAUUAUUAUUAUUCAAAUGUUGUUGAUUUUUGAGACA